AUUGAACGCUGGCGGCAGGCCUAACACAUGCAAGUCGAGCGGAUGAAGGGAGCUUGCUCCUGGAUUCAGCGGCUGACGGGUGAGUAAUGCCUAGGAAUCUGCCUGGUAGUGGGGGAUAACGUCUGGAAACGGGCGCUAAUACCGCAUACGUCCUGAGGGAGAAUGUGGGGGAUCUUCGGACCUCACGCUUUCAGAUGAGCCUAGGUCGGAUUAGCUAGUUGUUGGGGUAAAGGCCUACCAAGGCGACGAUCCGUAGCUGGUCUGAGAGGAUGAUCAGUCACACUGGAACUGAGACACGGUCCAGACUCCUACGGGAGGCAGCAGUGGGGAAUAUUGGACAAUGGGCGAAAGCCUGAUCCAGCCAUGCCGCGUGUGUGAAGAAGGUCUUCGGAUUGUAAAGCACUUUAAGUUGGGAGGAAGGGCAGUAAGUUAAUACCUUGCUGUUUUGACGUUACCAACAGAAUAAGCACCGGCUAACUUCGUG
This 484-nucleotide ribosomal RNA is filed under the name uncultured bacterium. RNAcentral describes it as "partial 16S ribosomal RNA". It matches the Rfam family "Bacterial small subunit ribosomal RNA", at positions 30 to 507 of the family's 1533-position model. The record is from RNAcentral.